CCGCCCCUGCCUGCCACAGCGAUGGCCGCCGCCGCCGGCGGAGAGGACGACGCGGCGUGGGAGCGCGCCAUCUCCGCCGCCACCAAGUCCACCUCGGCGCCCAAGAACCUCACCCUCGACGGCGCCGUCAAGUCCUCCACGGGCGGCCUCCCCUCCGCCGUGCUCCUCGAGCGCUUCGCUGCCUCCCUGGAGGAGCUCUCCGUCGCGGGGGCGCGCCUCUCCUCGCUAACGAGCCUGCCACACCUCCCGGCGCUCCGGCGCCUCUCCCUCCCCGACAACCACCUCUACCUAGGGAACAACCGGUUCGCGGAGGUCUAGGAGCUCGCGCCGCUCGCCGGGGUCCGGGUCGAGUCGCUCGACCUGUUCCAGUGCCCCGUCACCAAGGUCAAGGGGUACAGGGAGGAGGUCUUCGCGCUGAUUCCUAGCCUCAAGUACCUUGAUGGCGCUGACGCUGAGGGCAACGAGCGUUUGGAGACGGAUGACGACGAGGACGAGGAGGAGGACGACGACGAGGGAGAAGAAGGGGCGGAGGGAGAGGAGGAGGGCGAUGAGGAUGAUGGAGAGGAAGAACAUGACGAGGAGGAGGUGGAGGCGAAUUUCUCUUUGGAUGUUUUGUCAUGAAAAUUCCAUCAGGCCAGAGAAUCUGUACGCAGAGAAAAUACAGACUAAAUUAUGGGGGGUGAUCCUGCACAAAAAAUCCAUUGAUAACAGGUGACUGGAUUCUAAGCGAGGCUACUCAUCACCCGUAACUUUGGAAGUGUCGGUAUGUGUAGUGUUGUUGUGUGUACCUUGAAUUUCUUUCUACAUCUUCCUGUGGUGGCAUAGAAUGCGUGCAGUAAGCUGCAUUCCACCAAUGGUCAGAUUGAUGCAUAAAUCAUCAUGUGCGUGGUGAUUCAGGAUAAACUAAUUGCCUGAUUGGGUUUUUGGUGCUGCCAAUUUAUCUGCAUUUACAAGAAGGCAGAAAAUGAUGCAAAAUCUAUGUGUCCUUUUGGAUCUCACCAAUUGUCAGCACGUCUGCUUAUAGCGAAGUUCUAGAGAAGGAAAAGAUGGAAUUAAACUUAAAUUUUGGUGGCUGCAUAAGUGUGGAGACUUGAAUUGAUAUAUGCUUAGUUAGGCUCAACGUUAGCGCAAACCGUUGAUGCAAACAGUUGAUGACCAAGUUUUUCCAUUAGUAUUUUAGUAUGGAUUUAAAGUACACUUAUGUAUGAGUUAUUUGACAAUGCUUAUUUAUGAGAUAUUGAAUGAUACUUAUCUAUAUUAUAUUAAUUAUAAUGUUAUU
RNA transcript from Zea mays, 1279 nucleotides. RefSeq lists it as uncharacterized. The record is from RefSeq and is marked validated. The transcript has 6 exons. Lineage: Eukaryota; Viridiplantae; Streptophyta; Magnoliopsida; Poales; Poaceae.